This 253-nucleotide ribosomal RNA is filed under the name uncultured bacterium. Its description in RNAcentral is "partial 16S ribosomal RNA". It matches the Rfam family "Bacterial small subunit ribosomal RNA", at positions 524 to 776 of the family's 1533-position model. The record is from RNAcentral.
UACGAAGGGGGCUAGCGUUGCUCGGAAUCACUGGGCGUAAAGGGUGCGUAGGCGGGGCUUUAAGUCAGGGGUGAAAUCCCGGAGCUCAACUCCAGAACUGCCUUUGAUACUGAGGAUCUUGAGUUCGGGAGAGGUGAGUGGAACUGCGAGUGUAGAGGUGAAAUUCGUAGAUAUUCGCAAGAACACCAGUGGCGAAGGCGGCUCACUGGCCCGGUACUGACGCUGAGGUGCGAAAGCGUGGGGAGCAAACAGG